GAUUGUGGCAAAUAAACUGAAUGCAUUAGGAAUGCAUUCGAAUCAUCAUCAACAGCAACAACAACACACCACCCAGACAUUGCCUCAAGGCUGUAAUCGUCUUCGCCUCCUUCUGCUCUCUUAAAUGGUUCAGCACUUUUCUUAACCUCUCCUACAACUAAAGAUAUUUCUACAUCCUCUCUAGCCUCUGCUACUAAUGACGUCAAUUUGAUUGUGGCAAAUAAACUGAAUGCAUUAGGAAUGCAUUCGAAUCAUCAUCAACAGCAACAACAACACACCACCCAGACAUUGCCUCAAGGCUGUAAUCGACUAAUGCAACAACAAAUGCUAACACAACCUCGGCAACAACUGCAGCAACAGCAAAUGAUUUGAAUUUCUUGCCACAACUAAGGCUGACACCACAAACUCAAGGAACAGAAC
Long non-coding RNA from Lucilia sericata (common green bottle fly), 420 nucleotides. RefSeq lists it as uncharacterized. The transcript has 3 exons. The record is from RefSeq and is a predicted model, not a curated record. Lineage: Eukaryota; Metazoa; Arthropoda; Insecta; Diptera; Calliphoridae.